UUUUAACACUGUUCAUUUGGUCUGGUCCCAUGUCAUCUCAUCAUAGGCUAGUUGUAAGGGAAGCCAUAUAUUUUCCCUGUGCUUGACACAGCACAAACACGUCUUCCUUGGCGCCCAGUGGUACUAGGUCCAACCAGAGGAAGGCUUAAUGUUGAAGAGCAUGAUUUGAAGUUCAAGGUGUUCUUUACCCUGGCUCAUUUGAGCACAAAGAGGAGAGCCCAGAAGCACGCAAACAGCAGACAGCUGGAGGGAAGCAAGCAUCAGAGGCAGGUGGCUUCUGUGGUAGAAGGAAGUAGAAAGCCACGUGUCUACUUUAUUCCCAGAUGUGAUGAUUCUCAGUUUUAGCAUCGUGGCAAAGUGAAACUUCCAUUUCACACUGAUACUCCUAGUCUGGGGCCAGCGGUCAUUAACGGGGUACAUCUUAAGCUGCAGAGAGUCCCAAACACCUAGGGGUCCUCGGGGUCUGGGAGAAUCAGUAUUUCUCAGGAGCUUCUGGUCCUGACCUAACCCACAGAGAAGCUGAGUCCUGGGUAUGGUGAGAGCUGCAUCUGCAGUCACUCUCCAGGAUCCUGCUUCUCUCCUGCAGCUCAGUUGAGAGGUCUCAGCACUUUCUUCUCGCUAGUCUUUGCUCCUCUGUCUCAUGCAUCAGAACUCCUUUGAGAUCAGUUCACCUGUACUCAAGGAGUCUCUGCCUGGGCCAAGACCUGUGUGGACUGGGGCACGAUAGGCUAUGUUGUGAGUGAGCUCCUGACCUCACAAAGUUUAGAAUCUAGACAGAAGACCCUGAAGAAAGCCCAUCUCUGUGGAUCGUUCACUGUCUUCCCAGUGUCUAGUGUGGGACCUGACGAGAGACGAGGACAAUGGAAGGAUGGUAGUAUUAAUUCCUGGGCUUGUUAGUGGUGCUGAUGGGAACCUGGGUUUAGAUUAAUUAGUGUUCAACCAACUCUCUGUUUCUUUCCAGUCAUUGCCAUCUGGACACAUACAAGGAACCUUUGAACUAGCAAAUAAAG
Molecule: long non-coding RNA, 1010 nt
Filed under: Mus musculus (house mouse)
Lineage: Eukaryota; Metazoa; Chordata; Mammalia; Rodentia; Muridae
Description: long non-coding RNA chr7:135658091-135659101
Source: RNAcentral